UUUGAAUUCAAACUCAUGAUUCUUUAUAUCUCCACAAUUAAGGUGUAAGGCUAGGCACUAGGUUAUUUGACAAAAACUAUCCACUACAAAUUAUUCUACUAUAUGAAUUUGUUCUUGUAUGAACACUAGAGGUUAAUGACUGAGUUUGGUGAUGUGAACUCCAAACUGAUUCUCUAAUUUUUUCACCACGGAUUGAAUGUUAAUUGUCUGCUCGUGAUAUGCCUGGUCUCCAAAUAGAGUGUACAUGCAAACACACUUUGAUGCCAAAGUAAGGUAGGUACAAAAUAUUUAAGUGAGAUAUGAAAAUGUGUUUAUACUUACGAGCGAAUCCUCUAUCUAUAGUAGUUUGUAAGCUCGAAGAUGUUUCACGCUCAUCUUCUCUAAUUGAAUGAUCAUUUAGUGUUUAUCUUGAUUUUAGAGUUGUUGUGGCUUGACCUAAAUAGAGACUAGAGAAUUGUUCAUUGAUAUUAGUAAAUACAAUUAUUUUUCAAACCUGGACAAUAUUUGAUAAGGUUUUUUCUUAACCGGUUUGUUGGUGUUUCAUAUAUUCAUUCAGAUGACUAUUACAACUUGGUCAGAAUAGACGUUGUGUGCAAGUGCCUCUAAUAUCCGAUAUUGGUGGAGACACUUCUGCGAGUCAGAUGAGUUCCCCUACAUGUGAAAUGGUGGAGACACAUUUGGCUUCUCAUAAUCUUUAUCUUCAUGAAUGACAUAAGUGUAGUUUUUUGUGCCACAUCACCCCAUUUGGAUGGUGUUUUCACAUUAGAUUUCUUCUAUUUGACAAUUCAAUUAGGCCUAUUUUAUCCAUACGAUACAUAGACUCCUACUAUUACAAAAUCAAAUAAAGGUAAUUUGUAGCCUCUUUCUCCAAUUCUACAAUUCCACAAUAAUUUGUGGUGUUCGUUUAUUUUCAAAAUAACCUAUUAGAUUACAUCCAUUUCAAAUGUAAUCAAUAACUUUGACGUUGUCAACAUUAUAAAUUCAGACACUUAAGUAUUUCAG
This 1002-nucleotide long non-coding RNA is filed under the name Cicer arietinum (chickpea). RNAcentral's name for it is "long non-coding RNA (CARI_LNC000136)". The record is from RNAcentral. Lineage: Eukaryota; Viridiplantae; Streptophyta; Magnoliopsida; Fabales; Fabaceae.